AGUGAACGCUGGCGGUAGGCCUAACACAUGCAAGUCGAACGGCAGCACAGUAAGAGCUUGCUCUUACGGGUGGCGAGUGGCGGACGGGUGAGGAAUACAUCGGAAUCUACUUUUUCGUGGGGGAUAACGUAGGGAAACUUACGCUAAUACCGCAUACGACCUACGGGUGAAAGCAGGGGAUCUUCGGACCUUGCGCGAUUGAAUGAGCCGAUGUCGGAUUAGCUAGUUGGCGGGGUAAAGGCCCACCAAGGCGACGAUCCGUAGCUGGUCUGAGAGGAUGAUCCGCCACACUGGAACUGAGACACGGUCCAGCCUCCUACGGGAGGCAGCAGUGGGGAAUAUUGGACAAUGGGCGCAAGCCUGAUCCAGCCAUACCGCGUGGGUGAAGAAGGCCUUCGGGUUGUAAAGCCCUUUUGUUGGGAAAGAAAAGCAGCAGGUUAAUACCCCGCUGUUCUGACGGUACCCAAAGAAUAAGCACCGGCUAACUUCGUG
This 492-nucleotide ribosomal RNA is filed under the name uncultured bacterium. RNAcentral's name for it is "partial 16S ribosomal RNA". It matches the Rfam family "Bacterial small subunit ribosomal RNA", at positions 29 to 507 of the family's 1533-position model. The record is from RNAcentral.